This is a long non-coding RNA of Polypterus senegalus (gray bichir), 1769 nucleotides long. RefSeq lists it as uncharacterized. NCBI's taxonomy places the organism in Eukaryota, Metazoa, Chordata, Cladistia, Polypteriformes, Polypteridae. The record is from RefSeq and is a predicted model, not a curated record. The transcript has 3 exons.
UAUAAAUUACCAUACGGUGUUGCUCGCACUUUUGCGAACAUAUUUUUUUCACAUUUAAUAAAUGUGCUACUUCUUUUAAAAUGUUUACCUGUAUUAUUCCUGCAAGCAACUGUACAGGAACCGAAGAAGCACGACUAUGUUAACGUACGAAAAGGGAUCUCUUGGAAUUCUUCUUUCACAUUUCAAAGAUGUAUACACUUAAGAUGAUUGCCAACACUAAGUCUCCCCUAAGACAAACUUGUUCCACAUCCACAGCUGCGAAAACGCUCUUAAGGAAGGUUAGAGGACUGGUUAAGGAUCAUCAGUCAGCCAAUCCAAGUGAUAUUUACAGAUGUACAGUAAAUAUUAUCGUCUAAUUUAGUCGCUAAUGCAUGAAUACCUAUCAAUGAAGUUGCCUUUUUGAAGAAAGAAGAUCUGAAAGAGUGCUGUGAUAUUUCUGUGAAGAAGAAUUCUUUUUUCUAGCUUUGCAUAUGAUCUUCUAGCAAACUCGUCAGAUUCUCUAACACUGUUCUCAUGAGACUUCAGGGGGGCUGACUGCAGCUGUCAAGCCAAUACCACUCCCUGGCUUGUAUGGUUUAAACUGUCACAAUUCUCAAAGCACAGUAUGUCACCAACAAACUCUUUUAAGAUCCCACACGUCAGCAGGUGGAAAACAAAAGAGCUAAGGGACAUUAGCACUCAGUUAUUGUCUGUAUUGUUCAUGGAGCUGCAGAAGUUCAUUUUUGGAGCACCCUUAAAAAUGACAAUAUUAUGAAACAAAGCAAUCAGGCAGCUUAAAGUAACUUGCACUGAGAACUGAGUAACACAGGUGCACAAUAAUAUCCAUGUAUUUUCUAACCUGCAUAUUCUAAGUUAGGGUUGAGAGGAGCAAGUAUAUUUUGUUGCAAUAUCAACACAAAAAUGAACCAGUCCUGUAUAGGGUGUCAAUCCAUCAAAGGACAUGCACAUGCACACAUCCACUCUCACAUUCACUUGGCCAUCUUAGAAUCAUUAAUUAACAUAACUUACCUGUGUUUAAGAUGUGGAAGGAAAAACUAAGUACUUGGGGAAAAAUAUUCAGAAAGUAGCCAAGCAUAGAGCUGUGAGAAUUCAGGACUAAUUGCUGCACCGUAUAUAGAACUAGCUGUUCUGUGCGGCUCCGCCUGCAUAGUAGUGAAACAGGACAAACUUUAGAAAUCAAUAAAAAAAAUUUUUAAAAAUGUAAUAGUUUAUAGUGAGAAGAAUUUAUAAUGAUAGCUUUCAUAUCCGAGGGCUUCUUGAUAUACAAUAUGUUUGCUUUUGCUAUCAGGUGCGGGAAUGUAGCUGUGAUCUCUUUGCCAAAAGUGUAAAAAGUUGGCAAGGUGUCUCUGGCCAAGCAGAAGGUAGGUACACUCCAACGUCAAACGUUGUCACUUUGUCUUAUCGUCUUCAGCUCUAAUGGGAUAGCGACCCCGCUUGGGGAGAAGAUCACGUGGCCAUGAUAUCUCUGCCAAUGAGCAGGUACCCAGUAAAAAACGUGUAGCUGUGAUCUCUCCCUCAAAAUGUCAAACAUUACUCUUUGCCAAUCUCUAGAUGAUAAUGUCUGCUGAAUAAACAGAUAUCACUAGCUAAGGCAAGGUACGCUCCAACAUGUGGUGAGAACUAAAGCAACUCGAACAGAGGCCGGCAUGUGAGUGAGGAUGGCCCCGCUCCAGAUCCCUAUUCUUGAGGUACCCCUGGCUCUUGGAUUCGUGCAAAUAAAUAGGCGCCACAACCGAAUUAUGAGAGAAGUCGCAAAAUCAACCAGAAUG